Molecule: long non-coding RNA, 2138 nt
Filed under: Salmo salar (Atlantic salmon)
Lineage: Eukaryota; Metazoa; Chordata; Actinopteri; Salmoniformes; Salmonidae
Description: lncRNA (ENSSSAG00000121734.1)
Source: RNAcentral
AUUAAGUAGUACUUUAAAGUAUUUUUACUUAAGUACUUUACACCACUGCAAUUUUACAUCUAACUAAGAUGUUUGGUGCAGUAUUUCACAAUGAAAGAAUUUGCAUGAAAACGUGUCAUUUCUCAUUGAAUGACAACAGACUUUAUAGAGCCCCACAGUGGAGGUGUUAUAAUACCCAUAAAACCUAGCGGUCAAACCGGGAAAUGGUUCCAGUCGUUUUUCCACCAUACAUUUUUCCCAUAGGGGAUUUUAGAUACACUUAAAAUAAGGGCUGUGUUUCGUGUAGGCUUACCCUGGUGUGAUGUUUUGAUAACCAUGUAAAUCUCUAUUGGACAAGGUGACUUUUAUCAAUAUAUUCGGCUCUAUUUACUUUGAUUCUAAAAUGCUAAUUAGCAUCAAAGUUGACAUCAUGCAAGACUACAAAUCCCUGCAAGCUCCUGCACGUCACCUGUUGCUGACAUCUUUGUAUUGUGUUCAUUUAAAACGUGCACAAGACCGUAAACAGAAUUGUCAAUUUAAAUUAAAUGUUAAUGUAUUCAUUAGUACAUUUAGCUAACAUUAGAUAAUUAAUAUGCACAAACACAUCCAAACUGUUUUGGCUGGGAAACAUGCGGACUCCUUAAGAUCAGCGUCCGGGGCAACUUCUCCUGACUUAAUGUUUAUGUCCCAAAUGGCACCCUAUUUCCUACAUAGUGCACUACUUUGGGUCCUGGUCAAAAGUAGAGCACUACAUAGGAAAUAGGGUGCCAUUUGGGAUGCAUCCCAUAUAAAUACUGUACAUAUCUGAGAGAGACUAAAAAGUGUGCUCAUUUGCACCCAGCACAAUCUCAACUGAAGCCUGAUGUGAGGGCAGGUGAGGUGAUGUGAGGUGAUAUGAGGGCAGGUGAGGUGAGGGCAGGUGAGGUGAGGUGAGGGCAGGUGAGGUGAGGUGAGGGCAGGUGAGGUAAGGUGAGGGCAGGUGAGGUGAGGGCAGGCCUGUCUUGGUUUGGACCUGUUCUACUGCUUCUGACCUACUGUUUUGAUGUCUCUAAUGUUCUUCUAAGCUGUUGAAAUAACAAGCUUUUCUAAUCAAAGUGCUUGUCUGUCGUGUAACUUUUCCAUAAGCACACAGCUCACACCUUCAAGAUAAUUCUCUGAGAUGAUCAUUUUCUCCAGUGUGAGGAUCAUCAAAGCAAGACAGUGCCGAUCUGAUGUUACUUCUUCAACUCAGCCCAUUUUGUUGUCAAUACAGAAGAUCAUUCAGUCACAUUUAUUCAUUCACUCAGAGGGAGAGAACAUUUCAACACUGCUUAUUCUACCACUCAUCUCAACAGUUUUUCUGUUGUAGAGUUAUGUUUUUGUUGAAAAGGUAACAGCAGCUACACCACAUUUACUUAAAGAGGAUCCUUUGAGCCAACAUCCUGUCAGCCGGCCCAUAAACACCUCAAGGGGACAGUUCAGCAGGCCGUAGGGAGGGGAGGGGGGUAAACAGGCCUGUAGCCCUUCCAGUCAAUACAAGCAGAGAAGAAGAGGGGGGAAGUCAGGAAGGGAGGGAGGAGGGGAGGAGGGAUACAGAGGCUAUUCUCCCUCUGAUGUAGUCCUGUUGACAAUGGGAGGAGGGCUUGACACCUUGCUCUUGGUUCUAGCAGGUAGAUUGCUCCUCCUGUCCUAUCCUCUCUAGCCCUGACUGGAGACUGAUGGUGGUGGGAGACAGAGGUUGUAUCCCAAAGUUCCUAUCUAGAACAUUACGUUUGACCAGGGCCCAUAGUGUCCUGACCUCUCCUGUCUUGAGGGGAGAUCUUCCCUCCCUGUGUCUCCUUGUCUCGCUCCCUCCCUGUCUUCUCUCCCUCCCUGUCUUCUCUCCUUCCCUCCCUGUCUUCUCUCCUUCCCUCCCUCCGUCUUCUCUCCUUCCCUCCCUCCGUCUUCUCGCCUUCCCUCCCUCCCUCCGUCUUCUCGCCUUCCCUUCCUCACUGUCUCCUCUCCCUCCCUGUCUUGUUCUCACCCUCCCUUCCUGUUCUCCCUCCCUCCUUCCCUCCCUGUCUUCUCGCUCUCCCUCCCUGUCUUCUCAUCUGCCCUCCCUUCCUGUCUUCUUCUCUCCUUCCCUCGCUCCCUGUUUUCUCUUCUCCCUACCUCCCUUCCCUCCCUCCCUUCCCUCCCUC